CCAAAACUGUGGUUCUCUCUUUUGUUUUCUCUUGGCUUUGUGGAAAAGACCUUCUUCCUUUCUAGAAAACUACCUCUUCUCUCCUUCACUUGGUCUGCAUCAGAACAGAGCAACUCCUUCUCCCUUUCGAAUACGAGAAGAAGAAAAUACAUAAGGGAAAGCAACAGUAAUCAAAUAGAAGAAAAAGAACAAGAAAGUUCCAGAUGAUACCUUUUUAGCCUUCUCUCCUUUUUGCCUCUUGAUGUUUCGGUUUUUCCUUUAAAAAGAGAGACAAUAUAAAAGCUUUUCUUUUUCUUUUGGACACCAAUUCUGGGCCCUUCUAGAACUGUAGUGAUGUCUCCUUUAACAUGUUUUAAUUUCUUUAGUUAAAAAUACUCUCUUCUACAUAGAGGAAAAACAAAAUGGUACAUAUAUAUAUAUAUAUAAUCUUUUCCUUAUUUUGAGUUGAUUAUUAUGUGUUUGUCUCGUGGUUUUCUCCUGAGAAUUUGGCAUUCUCUGCACAUCUCUUCUCAUUCUAUGGUAUUUGCUGUAUCUUCCUUUAUUCUUUUAAGUUCUUGUGCUUUUCAGAAUAUUGGAAUAUUUUCUUGAGAUAUUGUGCAUGAAAAUCAUUUUUUGUCUAUGUGUUGGGUGGAUAUUAAUAUAUCUGUGUUAUUUGGAUUGCUAUAUUUGCUUUUGUAAUUCUUGCGCAUCCAAAUUGCAAGCUGUCAUAAUAAUUUUUAUUGAUUUACCAUGUCAUGUUGUGUGUUUGUCUCGCGGUUUUCUCCCGAGAUUUUGGCAUUCUCUGCACUCUCUUCUCAUUCCAUUGUAUUUGCUGUGUCUUCCUUUAUUCUUUUAAGUUCUUGUGCCUUUUAGAAUAUUUGAAUAUUUUAUUGAUUGGAAUAUUUUCUCGAGAUAUUGUGUAUGAAAAUCCUUUUUUGUCUAUGUGUUGGGUGGAUAUUGAUAUAUUUGUGCUAUUUGGAUUGCUAUAUUUGCGUUUGUAAUUCUUGCGCAUCCAAAUUACAAGCUGUCAUAAUACAACAUUCUUUUUUGGAUAGAUUUCUGUUAAAUCUUUUUAGGAAUAUGCUGUCCAACAGCUCCCAGCACAAUAUCUGACAGAUGGAUCCUUUAGAAAACUGACUGUUGUUGAAGUUAUAUGUUUAAAUUUCCAAAGGUCUCUAGGUUUAGAUGAGCUUGUUCCCCUAGCUCAUGCAGAGCCUUCCAUAGUAUCAUUCCUCUAGAUCUGCACCAGCUAAAGGUUCAGUGGUGAAUCUUCUCUUUUAUCUUCCAGACCACUUGCCUAGAGCAUUUCAAUCUACGGAUGAUCAAUUCAGGCUUUGCAGACUCAAGCGAUUGAAGGUUUUUCAGUCUAGUGUACCCGGCUUCAAGAGCUAGAAGUUGAUGUGGCAUAAAUCCAGAUUAAUGAACGGAUUUCUCUCCGUCACUUAGUUUAGUGGAUCAGCAGGAUUUGGUUCUUUGAGGAUUUUUGUUCCUCCUUCUAUCAGUUGUUUUACAAACUUAUGAUUAUUUGGGUUUUCUAUAGUUUUCUUUUUCUUGUGUUUGGACUUUCGAACUAUAUUUUUGGGAUAUUAUAUACUCUGUUUACCCUUGUCCUGUUGAGACAUCUAGGCGGAGUAUUUUAUAACUAUAGUUUUUUUAUAUCUGUUUACUCUUUGUCCUUUUGAGACAAAAAAUGGGGAGUAUUUUUAGUUUUGGACCAGGAAUGUAUUUUUAACCAGUCAAGUGAUUUUUGUCCUAGAAUGGCCAAAGGGGGAGUUUGUUAGUUUUU
Alnus glutinosa is the source of this 1765-nucleotide long non-coding RNA. RefSeq lists it as uncharacterized. The record is from RefSeq and is a predicted model, not a curated record. The transcript is spliced from 2 exons. Lineage: Eukaryota; Viridiplantae; Streptophyta; Magnoliopsida; Fagales; Betulaceae.